UGGGGAAUAUUGGACAAUGGGCGAAAGCCUGAUCCAGCCAUGCCGCGUGUGUGAAGAAGGUCUUCGGAUUGUAAAGCACUUUAAGUUGGGAGGAAGGGCAGUAAGCGAAUACCUUGCUGUUUUGACGUUACCGACAGAAUAAGCACCGGCUAACUCUGUGCCAGCAGCCGCGGUAAUACAGAGGGUGUGAGCGUUAAUCGGAUUUACUGGGCGUAAAGCGUGCGUAGGCGGCUAAUUGAGUCGGAUGUGAAAUCCCCGAGCUUAACUUGGGAAUUGCAUUCGAUACUGGUUAGCUAGAGUGUGGGAGAGGAUGGUAGAAUUCCAGGUGUAGCGGUGAAAUGCGUAGAGAUCUGGAGGAAUACCGAUGGCGAAGGCAGCCAUCUGGCCUAACACUGACGCUGAGGUGCGAAAGCAUGGGGAGCAAACAGG
This 429-nucleotide ribosomal RNA is filed under the name Pseudomonadota bacterium. Its description in RNAcentral is "Proteobacteria bacterium partial 16S ribosomal RNA". It matches the Rfam family "Bacterial small subunit ribosomal RNA", at positions 355 to 776 of the family's 1533-position model. Lineage: Bacteria; Pseudomonadati; Pseudomonadota. The record is from RNAcentral.